Molecule: ribosomal RNA, 253 nt
Filed under: uncultured bacterium
Lineage: Bacteria
Description: partial 16S ribosomal RNA
Rfam family: Bacterial small subunit ribosomal RNA
Source: RNAcentral
UACGGAGGGGGCUAGCGUUGUUCGGAAUCACUGGGCGUAAAGCGCACGCAGGCGGAUAGACAAGUUGGGGGUGAAAUCCCGGGGCUUAACCUAGGAAUUGCCUUCGAUACUGUAGGGCUCGAGUCCGGGAGAGGUGAGUGGAAUUCCUAGUGUAGAGGUGAAAUUCGUAGAUAUUAGGAAGAACACCAGUGGCGAAGGCGGCUCACUGGCUCGGUACUGACGAUGAGGUGCGAAAGCGUGGGGAGCAAACAGG